GAAAGCCAAUCUCAGUUCGGAUUGUAGGCUGCAACUCGCCUACAUGAAGUUGGAAUCGCUAGUAAUCGCGAAUCAGAAUGUCGCGGUGAAUACGUUCCCGGGUCUUGUACACACCGCCCGUCACACCACGAGAGUUUACAACACCCGAAGUCAGUGGCCUAACCGCAAGGAGGGAGCUGCCUAAGGUGGGGUAGAUGAUUGGGGUGAAGUCGUAACAAGGUAUC
RNAcentral lists this ribosomal RNA (224 nucleotides) under uncultured bacterium. RNAcentral describes it as "partial 16S ribosomal RNA". It matches the Rfam family "Bacterial small subunit ribosomal RNA", at positions 1277 to 1500 of the family's 1533-position model. The record is from RNAcentral.